Hippocampus comes (tiger tail seahorse) is the source of this 462-nucleotide long non-coding RNA. RefSeq lists it as uncharacterized. Lineage: Eukaryota; Metazoa; Chordata; Actinopteri; Syngnathiformes; Syngnathidae. The record is from RefSeq and is a predicted model, not a curated record. The transcript has 4 exons.
GAGUGCAGUGACCUCUGCGUUCGAGGGCAGCCUCUUCGCGUCCAGAGUCUACACUUCAUUUGCAUCUCAAAGAAAAGGGCCAUUCCUUUGAGGACAACAAUGUCAACAUUUCAUAGACAGAGCCGAUCGAUGGUUUGAGAGGCAACCAUAACACAAGGCAAACAUAACCAACAACCAGUUGUUUCUCUUCAAGAAAAAUCAAGGUGUUGAGCAUUGGAUGUGGGAAAAGAACACAAAAAUACCUUUCUCAGUCAGGCGUGUGGGCGUUUUCCCUUAUGAGUCACAUUUCUCCUGCUUUAAAAGCCAUGCCACGCCGACAACUGGUUGUCGUAACAAUCAAGAAGUCACCAACAACUUUAAAUGAGUCGGCACCAAGGAUUGGAGUUGAAAUGUAAAUGCCUCUAGUGUUUUGCGCCAGGAAUAGAAGCUGCCAUGUCUCAGUAAGAGGGCCACUCUGCUAAC